CUUUUUAGAGUGUUUACUCUAAAAGUGCUACUUCUCAGAAAGGAUAUCAAUAACUGGAGAAAAGGGAGCUCUGAUUUCUGCUUGGCUGUCAAGGGUCCAGACUCAGAGACAGUCUGUGCCCCCAGAUUGCUGAGAUGCCUGGGCAAUGAGAAGCAGAGGGCAGGACUCCACCUGAGGUUGUCCUUGGGAAAUGGCCUCUGUGAAGCCAGGCUUGACUUUGCAUUCCAGCAUGUCUGGCUCUUGGAUUUUCUGCAUUGGAGCCUCAUUCUGUUUAUUGGAACCCCUUGCUAUCAUCAUGGACCCCAACCUUUCCUCACUGUUCUGCCUCCAAGGGCAAUUGUCUCCUUGGGGUGGAUGCCUGAAGUAGAGGAAGAAGUGAGCCAUUUCCAUGAAGUGGGCUAAGAAUAUUCUCACUUUACCAGUGUGCUGAACCCAGUUUCUGAAAAUGCUACAUUCACGGGACACUCGUCUCCCUUUCACCUUCAUGAAUUCUGGCCACUCGGAUUCCCGUCACAGGUCCUGGACACGCACUCUGCCAGGAGUCCAGCUCCUGGAGUGGUUGCCAUUCUGGUCAAGAGUAUCCGGGAUCCAACUAGUACAGAACUACCCUGGCUACAAGUCAGCAGUGUGAUUUCAGCUGGCACUGGGCUUGCUGCUGGAAUCACGUAGAGGAACAGUGGAGACUCAGACUUUCCACUAUAAUAAUAAACUGCAGAUGCCUAUUUAAAGCA
Molecule: long non-coding RNA, 731 nt
Organism: Bos indicus x Bos taurus (hybrid cattle)
Lineage: Eukaryota; Metazoa; Chordata; Mammalia; Artiodactyla; Bovidae
Source: Ensembl